AUGCCCAAAGGAAAGAAGGACAAGGGGAAGAAGGUGGCCCCGGACCCUGCCGUGGUCAAGAAACAGGAGGCCAAAAAGGUGGUCAAUCUUUUGUUUGAGAGAAGGCCCAAGAACUUUGGCAUUGGGCAGGACAUCCAGCCCAAAAGAGAUCUAACACGCUUUGUUAAAUGGUCCCACUACAUCAGGCUGCAGAAGCAAAGAGCCAUCCUCUAUGAGAGGCUCAAAGUACCUCCUGCCAUUAACCAGUUCACCCAGGCCCUGGACAGGCAAACAGCUACUCAGCUGCCUAAGCUUGCCCACAAGUACAGGCCAGAGACAAAGCAAGAGAAGAAGCAAAGGCUACUGGCCUGUGCUGAGAAGAAAGCUGCUGGCAAAGGUGAUGUCCCAACUAAGAGACCACCUGUCCUUUGAGCAGGAGUCAAUACCGUCACCACCUUGGUGGAGAACAAGAAGGCUCAGCUGGUGGUGAUUGCCCAUGACAUA
This 483-nucleotide long non-coding RNA is filed under the name Mus musculus (house mouse). RNAcentral describes it as "long non-coding RNA chr2:152467393-152467876". The record is from RNAcentral. Lineage: Eukaryota; Metazoa; Chordata; Mammalia; Rodentia; Muridae.